Spinacia oleracea (spinach) is the source of this 3303-nucleotide long non-coding RNA. RefSeq lists it as uncharacterized. The record is from RefSeq and is a predicted model, not a curated record. NCBI's taxonomy places the organism in Eukaryota, Viridiplantae, Streptophyta, Magnoliopsida, Caryophyllales, Amaranthaceae. The transcript is spliced from 3 exons.
CUUCUUCCUACUCUCUGCCUCUCUCUUUUAUUCUCUCUGAAAUCCUCUUGCAUCAUAGGCAAAUAUUACUCUUUAUCUGUGUAACCCAUUAACCUCAAUUUAACUAAUCGAAUUAUGGGUCUAGUUUUAACUUUACUUGCUAAUUAGUUUAUCCGAAUUUGUAGUUUGCGGGAUGUAUCCACUUAUCAAGGAUUAUAUGAAUAGCUUGAAUUGGGUAUUUGGGUGUAUGAUGAUUGAUGAUGCGGUGGUAUUAGGACUGACUAGUAAUCUAUUCUAAUAUUUAAUAGCAGUCAUGUUGGAGUGCCACGUGGCGCCCUCUUGAAAUUCCAAGAUGUAAUUCCAUUUAUAAAAAAAAGAUUAAUAAGUGAUUUGAACCGGCAAAAUCUCAGUAUGGCAUCCAAUCUCCAAGCGACGCUUUUUCUCCCGACUUCAAGCUAUUGAAAAUUUGAAACAAUUGAUUUCAACUUCUCUCAUCAAAAUCCUAACCAUUUUAUUUCUUCCUGUUUACUCGAUCUCCCAUCUUCCAAUUUAAAGUUCCUCAAUUUUUGAGAUCUCAUCCUGAUUAAUCUUUCAGAUAUUUGGAAAGAGAUGAAGAAGAAGAGAAAAGGAAAUGAUGAAGUCUCAUUGGGUAUAUUGGGUUUGAUUGUUUUGUAUCUUUUCGAUGGUUGAUUCAUCUUUUUUUUUUCCUGUAAUUUCUAACCGUUCUCAAUUUCAAUUUCAUCCAAUCCUCCAUUGUUCUUCUCCUUCCUAUUUCCAGUUUGCUUCAUCAUUUUUUAUUUAUAUGUUUUGUUCGACAAUGAUAGUUCAUUUUUGAUAUUAAAGAUUUUUACUAACUCUACUCCCCACCCCUUUCUCCUUUCCUUAAUAUCAUACUUUCAUACCCCCAAUUUAAUUGUGAUGGAUUGUAAUUGUACUUUACAGUAUUCUUCCAUUUUUAUUGCCUUUUCUUUCAUAAUCUUUUUAUCUUUUGAUUGUGAUGCUCGCCUCUCAUGUUGUGGGUUUGCUUAAUCUUUCUUUUUUACAUUAGAAAUUGGGUAUGGUUUGAAAUAAGCAUGCACUGGUUUCUGGUGUAGCAUUCAUACGAAGUAAAUUGAAGUUCCAUGCAUGGAGAGUCACGUGGAGAUUGGAAAAUUAUCACUUUAACUUUUUUAUACAUAGCAGCCUUGCAGGGGAUGAGUUCCUAUAUUGGUUUUAAUUUCACCGCUUAUAUGGAGGUAGAUUAGAAGUUAUAAUUUCUAUUAACAUGACUUGCCAUUAGGCUACAUAAAUACUCUCUUAUCUAAAGUUUCUAAAAGUAAGAUACUAGACUUCCAUAAUUUUAUCGAGACUUCAAGAUGAAUAUUGUUGCUUUGAUAUGAUAUUAGCUAUAUGCCUACAAGGUAUUUGGAAAUAGAAUUGUUUUUAUUUGUUAUCAGAUGGUAGUUGAAACUCACAGAUCAAUAAAUCUCGGGAGAAGAGGAAAGGGUGAAAUAAAUGGGAGCACACUAUUGACUAUUUUGUGAAUGUGUACUUGAAUAAAGUUCAAAUUUCAUAACAACUAUUAUUCUUUUUGCUUUAAUUUAGUGAAUUUGAUAUGUUUUUGGUUUAUAUGGUAUACAAUCUCUACACUAUCAUGUUCCUCUAUACCUUUUUCCCAAUUACUUUUUUGAUGACUUAGGACUUACUACCUCAGUUUCAUAUUACGGUGACUAUUUGCACAAAUAUUAAGACAAAAGUAAUAACGUUGGUUGAAUAUAAUAAAAUAUGAAUAAAGUAAGAGAAAUGAGUAAAAAAGUGGGUGGGUAUAAGAAAAAAAUGAAUAAAGAAAGAGAAAAUGAGUAGAAUAUUGUAAAUAUUGUGGGGGUGAGAAAUGUAAGAUAGUAAAUUUUCAUGUCUAAAAAUAGAAUAAAGAAAAGUUUAAAGAACAUUGUGAAACGGCCUAAAACAGAAAGUGUAAAGAUCAUUUUGAAUCAAAGUAGUACAAAACUUACUAAUGAAUGAUCCGUUGUGUUUCCCAAACUCAAACAAUAAUUUUACUAAUGAAUGAUCCGUUGUGUUUCCCAAACUCAAACAGUAAUUUUACUUCCCUUUACAACUUAUAUUACUCUCUUUGUUUUUCUAUAAGAAACACCGAAUGAAUAUAAAUACAAUCUUAUGAACAUAAUUGUUGAUCCUAAAGUUUUGAUGAUGACAAAGCAAACUCCUGACAAUUGGUUAAGUUAUGUUGCAUAAUAGGUUCCGAGAUCCUUAGAGGGAUAAUGCUAAGUUAAGGAGAUCCUGAGUUGGAUAAACUAAGCAACGUGGAAUAUAAGCAAGUAAUUGAUCCAUGUCAGACACUACAUUGAAGAAAUAAUCAUUAUGCAAGGCGAGAUCCUUAGGCGAGUUCCUAAGGCGAGAUCCUCAUAUAUUAUGUGGAUCCUCGGCGUUCCAGAGAAGGAACAAAUCGGGAAGUCUUCGAGUGAAGCUUCUAAAGGUGCAACAUGAAGACUACAACAUAUGAGUUUAUGUUUUAGGAUUUAUGUAAGUAUUUAAUAAAGUUUAUAAGUAAUUUGGUAUGAAAGGGACAUAGUAUUUUGGUACGUUUUAAAUGAAAUAUGUUAACUGUAAUUAUGAAAGAGUUUUAACUUGGAAAAUCUUUUUAAUAAAUAAAAUGUAUUUAAUUAAUAAAUGAAACAUAGGAUUCUGAUUUACUCUCCUUGUUUCUCAAGUAAAAGUUUUUCCACGUUCCUUGAAACUCUCCCCACGUAUUUCUGUUCAACGUACAUUUAGUGUUUUGAUUUGGUCUCCCUUGUUUCUCUCCAACCAUGCCCAUGUUACUGAGCAGUAACUGUUAGUGGGUGGUUGAGGGAAACAUGGGUACCAAACCCUAAGUAAAACUCUCCUAUAAAAGGAGAAGAGUUUUAGCUUUUCAAAACACACAACUGAUCUUUGCAAAAUAUAUUUUAAGAGCUUAAACGUUUUAAAAGAGAAUCAGUUUUCAAAAGAGUGUCCCUUGAGUUCCUUAAUGCUUUGAGCUUUAUUACGUACUAGAGUUUUAUAUCAAAUUGUAUUUUGGGUUUAAGGGUUGAGUGAUCCUUAAUUGACUUAGAGUUAAGUCAAAGAGAAACAGAGCGACUUAGAGUUAAGUCAAAGAGAAAAGGAGCGACUUAGAGUUAAGUCAGAGAGAGAAAGAGGAGCACAGUAAUCAAAGGGGAUUGCUGUGGGGAACUCGUGUUCGAGAGGAACUCGAGUUAAAGAGUGUAUUUGUAAUAGAGUUAUUGCAUUAAUACAAAAGAGUAGUGAGGUUCUUCUUGAUUAGGGUCAAGAAGGUUCCUCCAUUUUAUA